AGACAACAAACGUGCAAUAAUACUCCAGUAAAGAGCUUCCUCACCUUGAUCAUGCUCUACUUAACAAUGUUCGAGGAGCUUUGGAGCUGCCUGUAUUUUAACCAUCUGGACAACCUGUUUUGGUGUAUUGGUGUUCAUAAUGACCUCCAUCAACUAUGUUGCAGAGGUCGGGUUUCAAGCCUCAGAGGUCAUUGGAAGUGAUUAUGUUCACCUCAGAAGAGCCCUCUUCCCACGAGGUUUGGGAUCAGCUAUCUGGGAAGGAAUUGUACAACUUGCAGAACAACUGAUAAGUACAAAAGACAGCCAUAAUGUUUCCUUCUCUGAUGCUGAUAAGUCUGCUGGUUACGCAAAUGCUAAGGGGGAUUUGUCUGAAUUCUUUCUCAAAAAAGGAACUUAUUCUGCUUUCGUCAAGUUGCACAUAGAGCAAGGUCUCAUUCUAGAAAAAGGUAUUUCGAUUGGUGUUGUGACUGCGAUUGCCGCUCCAGCAAGCAUCAAAGUAACAUUUGAAGGCAAUGGAGGUCAUGCAGGAGCUGCACUGAUGCCAAAAAGAUACUACUACUAUCAUUUUUCAUGCCUUGCAAGUUAAUUGAAGACGGAAUAAUGAUCUGUUUCUAUAUCUUGUUGGUGAAUUGUUUGUCAUUACAUUCAUUCCAGCAUUGACAAUUUUUCAACACCUUUGCUUCUUUUGGUUGAUAUGCCAAAGAAAAUAUAUAUGCAGGAUACAAAAAUGCAUGUUUGUGAUGAAAAAAAAAAAGAUGAUUAUCCAUUACAAAAGGUAUGUUAUUACUUUAUAGCAAAAUUAUUAUACUUUUUGAAAAGUUUAGAUUUAAACACCUAUAAAUGCAACAUAUAAUUACCUCAAAAAGCUCAUCACCUCCCUUGUUUUGUGCUCCUUCAAACAGAGAAUCCUAAUGAAAUAUAGUAAUAUCAUUAAAAUAAAAUUUAUAAUUCUUAUAGAACUCGAGAUUUAUAAUUCUUUAUAAAAAGUAGCACUUACAGUGUAUUUUAGUGAAGGAUGACAAUAUUUCUCGAAAAGAGAUUCAUCAUCAGCAAAUUUUAGAACUUUGUAGACUUCAUCCUGCUUGUAUAUAUUAGAUUCCUUCACCAUGACCUUAAACAUGAGUUUUUUUUCAAUGAUAUCAUCCAGUUCACUUGGAUACGAACAUUCAUCAUCAUCAAUUAAGCCCUCCUUUAGCUCUUUUGCAGUUUUCCCCAUAAGUUGAACAGCCUCACGGUUCCAAAGUAAUAGGGUUAUAAGACCAGUUCCAUCCAUUACACGAACUUGUAGCCUAUACCUGAAAUUCAUUCUUUAUCAUGUUAACAAUAUAAAGUUUUUUCUUGAUAAAAAUUCAUGUAGGAUUGUAAUUACCUGUGAACAACUUUUGCCUUUGAAUUGCAUUUUGGAUAAAAAAAAAUGAGUUUCCAUCUUGUUCAACCUUUAUAAUACACUUGUUGCAACCCAUGUAUGACCAUCCAUGAUCAAGAUCAAAACAAACAAUUUUUGCAGCAAUCCAAUAGCUAGCUUCCUGUUUGAUAGAGAAAAUAUUGUUAUAAUAUUUAAAUACAUUGUGUUAAGUUAAUCGGGAAUGAAAAAAUUUAUUCAGCUCACUUCUAAGCAUACAAUCAAAUCAUUGAUGUAUUUAAAAGGUACAAUUCCUUUGGCUAACUCAUCCGUGAUAGAAUAACACUGUUGAAUAACACUGUUGAGAACUUGUCUGGCUAAGCCGCUCAUAGUUUAGAAGCACAUGCUGCAUUUAAUCUGAAUGAAAAAUAGUAUAAAAUUAUACAUUAAUGUAUAUUCUAAAUUUUAAUAUUAAAUUUAAUUGAUAAAUGUUUUAAAACAAUAGUUUGAAGUGACAACCUGCAUUUAAAAGCAAUAGAUUGCGGCAGAGAUGAAUUUAUCCAUAGCUUAGUUUGAUACCAACAACUACGAACGGAGUAGACAUCUGUUUGAAAUAAUAUUUAGAAUUUGAAAAUAAAAAUAAUUUUUGAUUAAAUCUGUUAUGUAUUAUAGUUUAAAAUAUUCAUACCUCUGAAUUUUUGAGCCUUCAUAAAUUGAAGAAUCACAAUCAAAGGUUCAUCUAUGGAUGCACUCAAAAAAGGUUGAAUUUGAUCCACAAGUUCGCCUCAUAAAGUUGUUGAAAGUCUAUUUCUCUUGUA
This is an RNA transcript of Capsicum annuum, 2160 nucleotides long. It is a transcript of the gene named ureidoglycolate hydrolase-like, with no coding region annotated. The transcript has 7 exons. Lineage: Eukaryota; Viridiplantae; Streptophyta; Magnoliopsida; Solanales; Solanaceae. The record is from RefSeq and is a predicted model, not a curated record.